This 68-nucleotide transfer RNA is filed under the name Cyclopes didactylus (silky anteater). Its description in RNAcentral is "tRNA-Pro". Lineage: Eukaryota; Metazoa; Chordata; Mammalia; Pilosa; Cyclopedidae. The record is from RNAcentral.
CAGAGAAUAGUUUAAGAAGAAUUUCGGCUUUGGGGGCUGAUGGUGAAAUUAAUAUAUUUCUUCUCUGA